UUGGUAUAAAAAUAAAAAUAAAUAAAAAUAGUGUGAGAAACUAUUUUUAUUGGAUUUAUAGAAGUAAAACAUAAGUCAGAAGUGACUUGUGUUGAAAUCGGAAUGAAACAGAAGAUUUAGAAUUUUCUGUUGAAAACGGGACAGAUAAAUUAGCAGAAAAUGCAUAGUCUCAGAAAAUUAUGAAAAUUGGAAGAUAAGUCAGAAAUAUUUUUAUGAGGCUUGAUUUAAAGUUUCAUAUUUUUCUGACACCCGUAGAGUAAGAAAUAAAAUCCGACAGCUAUCUAAUAAAGAUUACAGUUCGGUACAGUUUUCAGUGACCAAACGGGGUCGAAACUGAAAAUUUAAGAUAUAUUCUUACUCAGUACGUUAAACUGAGCCUGUCUGUCAAAUUUGAGCUCAAACAUACAUUCAGAAGGGCUCCAACUAUUCUGAACUGCUAAACUGCCUGG
RNAcentral lists this long non-coding RNA (449 nucleotides) under Ananas comosus (pineapple). RNAcentral describes it as "long non-coding RNA (ACOM_LNC038834)". Lineage: Eukaryota; Viridiplantae; Streptophyta; Magnoliopsida; Poales; Bromeliaceae. The record is from RNAcentral.